This 331-nucleotide long non-coding RNA is filed under the name Rattus norvegicus (Norway rat). RNAcentral describes it as "long non-coding RNA NONRATT006625". Lineage: Eukaryota; Metazoa; Chordata; Mammalia; Rodentia; Muridae. The record is from RNAcentral.
UCAGAAGAUCACUGGUUCCUUUUAUAAAAGAUUGUGGAUCUUCAGAUUGAUUCUGCCAUAUUCAGUUCCUGACAGUCAGGGUCGGCUUGUGGAAAGUUGUUAAACAACUUCCUUAAUGUGAAAUGUCAACCCUCACUCUAAGCUACUUCCCCUUUCAAAGCAUUGAAUGAAGACUUCAUUGGGUUUUAUAGUGGAUUUCUGAUUUUGGUAGUCUAUACAAGAAGGGAAUUUGAAAGUUCUUGUAUAUUGUUGACUGUCUGCCCAUGUCCUGCCUGAAAUACCAUGAUUGUUUAUGAAAAGUAUCUUUAAUAAAGCUGGUUACAGUUAAAAA